CCCAAUCGCAUCAUCUCUAAUCUCAACGAAACGGUAUCCUUGGAGCGAGGCUCUGUACCACCAAGUUUGUAGCUUAGGGUGGGUCACGAAGGAGUUCUGACUAGGGAAACAAAAAAAAAAAAAACAGAAAAACUCUGAAUCGGAAAAAGAAUGAGUCUCGUUCAGAGGGAUGGGAUGAGGCGAUUGUGGAGGCUGAAAUGAUUUGCCCUAAAAAUGUUUAUAUUUUUUUCUGGUGGCCCUGCACUCGGAAAAAGAAUGAGGGUCGUUCAGAGGGAUGGGAUGUUUCUAAGGGUGGUUGCCCCUCUCUGUAAACGAUGAUCUCCUACAAAAUGAGGGAUGGGAGAUCAUCUAGAGCCAAUGAUUUCAUUUCCUAUAGAAUCAACAGCCCUUUGUGUAUGUAUACUUCUGAUUCUUGUAGAUUUUGUAGUUUCCAUCAUCAAUCAUCAUUGUAAGAGGCUGUGAUGAUAUAUGUUCUGAGUGGAUCAUACUGGCAUUGAGAAUCGGAUCCGUUUGUUGGCGGGGCAAACCAGAGGGUAUGUGGGAGAGAGAUUUGGUUCUUCUCUCACAGGCAACUGUUGUUGCAGCCAGGGCGGUGGGAUAUACUCUUGCCCUCAUCAAAACCAGAUCUGAGCCUCUCAAAUGUAUUUUAUUGAAAAUUUUCAAAAACAAAAAAAAAAAAAACUCUGAACUUACCCUCUCUCUCUCUGCAACUGCAAAGUACAAAAUCUACAAGAAUCAGAAGUUCAAAACCCAUAUAUUUCAGUAUAUCUAUCAGUCAAAUUAGGGCAAGUGAGGCGGCUGAGAGCAGAUCUGAAAUGGGGAUGAUGUUUUCCGAAAAUCUAUGGGGAUUGUUGGGCAGGGAAGCAUUAUAUACAUAUAUGUUGUAAUUGUUUGCUUCCCUACUCCACCCAUUGCUAUUGUUUUCGGUGUUCUCUCUUUUCUUGUUCAGCUUCAUAUCUCUUUUACACACACUCAAACAAUCACACGUAUAUGUAUGUAUGAAUAUAUUGUUUAUGCGUGUUUGCGUAUCGACGCCGGAAAGUUGUGUGGGAGGUCGAUCGAGUUUGUCGAAGAGAAAGUGUAGCAAGCGAAGGAAAUCAAUCAAGCAGCGAGUUUUGUCUCAUUUGUCUGAUCGAUCGUUGGACAAGGUCCACAAGUCUGCCCCUUCGGAUCGCUCCCAUAACAAUCCCACUUUUCAUGGUCCUCUCUCUGUCUCUAUCUCUCUGCAUACUCAUAUAUAUAAUAAUGAUUAGGAGUUUCAAUUUUUUUUUUUUUUUUUUUUGAAACUGCAAUUUGAAAUUGAAUUUUGAAUUUGAACUGUGUUUUAUGGAGUUUAUGGUUUGGAUUGUGAGAGAAAGAUGGGAAUUUGGACUAAGCUAAGCUAGCUGCAUUGUGUGAAGCUGGAAGUAUUGAGGAGGCAUGGUUUGAUUCUGCUGCCAUACUUGACUCUGACUGUGAUGAAGAUUUCGAAAGUGUCCUGGAUGAUGUGCUGUCUCAAAAUGGAUUUGAAGGUUCAUCUGUAUAAGGGUACUUAACAGCAGGAAAUUCUGCACGCAACUCUCUCAGUGAGGUUGCUAAAAGUUCAAUCCAUUCAAAUGAUGUUGAUUCCAAAUAUAAAUCUGAAGGACCUGCAAAUGAAGCAAAGCAACCAGUGUUCCUUGAUGAAAUCUCCUCCUCUGUGGAUGAAAAUGGUGGCUGGGAGGAAGGAGUACUGGAAAAUUGUGGACUUCUUCCAAACAACCUGUGUUCCUUGUCUUGCUUCUACUCUCCCUUCAGUUGAGAAGAGAAGAUCACUAAGCUCUAGUCCACCAAACUCAACUGUUUUUGGUUUAAUAUAAAAUACAGUCGAUGGUAUCCGGAUGUCUCCUAGAAUUGGAAUUAAUCAAUAGUUCAUUCUUCAUCUAAUUUUUUUUUUUUUUCAUUUUUUUGGCUAUGAGGUUGCGAGGUCUAAUAGGCUUUUAUCCCCAGUUGAGAGGUGCUAAUGCUGUUUGCAACAUCAUAGUGGAUGUAUGUGUAGUUACUAGCUACAUCCGUCCUUGUGCGGGUUAUGUUUUUGUUGAGUAACACAGUGUUGCGAAUUUUGUAGCAUGUGCUUAAUUAUUGCUACUUAUGACUUCCUUUUGGUUGAGCAACGAGCAAGUUGAAGUGACAUUAGGGAGAAAACUAUUUCGAGCUUGAUGUGGAUAUGCACCGAUUUAUUUACAUCUCUAGGAAAGGGUUUGAUGCAUUCCUGGAUAGCCUAAAGCACUGCAUUUUGGAUGUUGGCCUUACAAUUCA
RNA transcript from Cornus florida, 2277 nucleotides. RefSeq lists it as uncharacterized. The transcript has 5 exons. The record is from RefSeq and is a predicted model, not a curated record. Lineage: Eukaryota; Viridiplantae; Streptophyta; Magnoliopsida; Cornales; Cornaceae.